ACCCUUUUGAAUUCUGUCAAACUGUGAUGCAGUUGACAUAAUAAUGCAACUCGUCAUGCAUAAUUUCAAAUAGCAUCAACACCCCUCAAUAAAGAGAGAUACAUGUAGGGCACCUAUGAAUGGUCCCUUGGGGGAGCAAGAAAACAUUCAAUAACAUAAAUGAUAUAUGCCCUAACAUAGAGGUCAAGUCCCUCCUCGACAAAACUAGGGGAAUGUCCUUAAAAUAUAGUAAUUUCUUAAGAAUUAUAUCACAUCUGUUCUUCUUAUGAAGAAGCCUCGGAGAUAACAAUAAUUUGUUGCAGAUAUUGGGGUAUUUAUCUGCUGUGCAAUCAUGCCCCAUUACUGGCAUGCCAUCAAUGAAGAACCCCGUAAUUCUAGCCACGUCAUCCAAUGUCGGAAUUAUCCUCUCUUCUCCAAUGAAAAAAUACGAUAGCUCGAUAGAAUAAUGAUCUACUAAUGCUAGUAAAAAAUCAAACGUCAUCCUACAGUCCAUAUUAAUUCUAUGGAUGAGAUCGAAACUCGUGCCUCCCAAUCUCUGGAUGACAACGUUGGCUGGUUGAUAUUCUUUUAGUAGCCUUAGAUGUGUUCUAUUCUUGUACAUUUUUUCUGUCAAUUGUAAAAUUCAAAUCAUAAACAUUAGGACAAAAUAAUAUUAUGACUUGUCAAAAUGAAAAAAUGUUUAAAGUGUAACUUAAGGAAACAACAAUCUACAAAAUAAAGUGUAAUUUCUUUCGUUCUUUUCAAGAAAGACAGAAUAAGAAUGAAGCAAGUUAAGAUACCAGCGAGAGCCAUAAGAACAAGCUCAUCUUCGGGCUCGAUCUAAAUUGAAAAGUAAUGAUUUAGUAAUUCAGGAAACGUCAACACAAAACAAAAGUUGUUCUUAUCUUAAGGGGUCAUCCUUUUCAUAAGCUAUGAUUUUGCACAGAAUAAUCGAAGAGAUCGAAAAAAGUAUAAAACUAACUCAAAGUUCUUAAAUCCUCAACACAAAAAAAAAAAAAAAAAAAAAAAUUAUCGAAGAGAUCAUAUGCACAGAAUAAGGGUGGGAACAUAUACAUAGAGAUCAACCUUUCGAAAACUUACACAACAAAUGUCAAGAUAUAUAGAUUCUUAAAGGAAUCACGGUACACUGUCUAAAAAUUUCCCCUCUUUCAUAUAAAUCAUGAUGUAGAAAUCCUUGCACAGAAUAAUCGAAGAGAUGCCAAAAAAAAAAAAACUAAAGAAAAAAUUCAAACUAGCUCAAAGUUCUUAAACCCUUAACACAAAAAAAUAAUUGAAGAGAUCAUAUGCACAGAAUAAGGUUGAGAACAUAUACACAGAGAUCAAACGUUCGAAAACUUACACAACAAAUGCCAAGAGAUAUAGAUUCUUAAAGGAAUCACGGUACACUGUCUGAAAAAUUUCUCCUCAUUCGUAGAAAUCACGAUGUAGAAAUUCCGGUGUUCUGAAGAAAUCAUGGCGUAAAAAUCAACAAAAAAGUGGGGUUUGUGUUCAAUAGUAAAUCUACCUUUUGAGUGAAACGGUAGAUCUUUAUUUUUAACUUUUUCGCAAUUCAUUUAGGAUUAGUUUGCGCUUUUUAAAAAUACUUGGGGACUAUGGUUGCAAGUACGUCAAAGAAAAUUAAUUCAUUUCUUUCUAAUUUUUUAGUAAUUUAUUUGGGACCCGUUUGUAAUUUUAGUUUUUUAAAACAAUUUAAUUUUUUAAUAAAUUUCAUUGGGACUCGUUUACACUUUUUAAAAUAUAAAUUUUACCUUUAAUAAUUUAUUUGGGAUUCGUUUGCACUUUUUUUUUUAAAUACUUUUUAAUUUUCUAAUAAUUUAUUUAGGAUUCGUUUGCACACAAGGACGGAUGCAGGGGGACUGGACUGGAGCUCCU
This 1872-nucleotide long non-coding RNA is filed under the name Olea europaea subsp. europaea. The record is from RNAcentral. Lineage: Eukaryota; Viridiplantae; Streptophyta; Magnoliopsida; Lamiales; Oleaceae.